This is a long non-coding RNA of Paramisgurnus dabryanus, 1168 nucleotides long. RefSeq lists it as uncharacterized. The record is from RefSeq and is a predicted model, not a curated record. Lineage: Eukaryota; Metazoa; Chordata; Actinopteri; Cypriniformes; Cobitidae.
CUCAGAGUAAAAUCUGUGUUUGAUCCACUGCCACUGAAUCUUGAUGGAGUUCCAGACUGUAACUCAUUUGCUUUUUUAAUCAGGAGUUUAGGAGCUUCUCCAGGUUUCUAAACAAGUUAACAUCCAGAUGAAGAUGCUGAUGAAGGUCAUGGUGACUCUGGACCCACAGUGAAGCCCUCAGUGUCUCUGCUGUCACCUGCUGCUCUUCAGAUCUCUGGAGACUCAGCAGCAUUGCUCUGUUUGCUCAACUCUUAGGGGCCAGUCACACCAAAAGCGCUUAAACGCUUGCAAACGCAAGGCGCGACGCACUGCCUUUUGUAAAAAAAAGAGCAGUGCGACGCGGCUUUUCAUAUUGCUAAGCAACCACCGAGUCAGCUGUCUUGUCAAUCAAUCGUGAGCACUCUUUUGCUGUUAACUGUCAUAUUAGCAGAAACUUUAAAAAGAGGACGCUUCCUCUGACCUUGUUUGAGGGUGAGAGGUGCACAAACACACAGGAGAGAGUGAGCGAGUGGAGUCCGGUUCUUCAAAGCAACUGUAAACUUCCCUCACCACAACGUAAGGCCCGCCUCUCCCCUCAUUCGAUUGGACAAUGGAAAGACGCGAAUGACGUCGGGCACUUCUCCGCUCUCAGCACUCCUUGAAAAACGCGUGCGCAGCAGGCAGCAAAAACCGCAAGGCGCUCAGCGCGCAUAAACAGCGCGCAAACGCGCCCUGCCCAUAUAAUAUCAUUCAAAAAAGGUGCCUGCAACUGCCAUAAACGCUUUUGGUGUGACUGGCCCCUUACUCUCCACAGGGGGCGCUGGUGAGCUGGACACUGGAUGGGUCAGAGGUCACUGACGGGAUUCAGACCAGUGCCGAGAGCGAGCAGGACGGCCGAUACAGCCGUAAAAGUGUCCUGACCCUCAGUAAAGCACUCUGGGACGAGGCGGAGGUGUUCGUCUGCAGAGUGACACAUGAUGAAACUCUUCACGAGGUCUCCAUGCGUAAGAGUCGCUGUUAGGAGAUCUGAGUGUUGAUGUUUGUCCAGCUGAAGAUCUCUCAUAUAUCUGAUGAUCUGUGUCAGACUCAUGUCAGUCUACUCAUACACAUCUGAUCAUUUACACUUUUAUAACUCUCACAACAUCUCUUGUGUUUGCUUUUACAUUCAAUAAAGAUUUUGAAGACGUUA